RNAcentral lists this small nuclear RNA (163 nucleotides) under Dermacentor andersoni. RNAcentral describes it as "U1 spliceosomal RNA". It matches the Rfam family "U1 spliceosomal RNA". Rfam says of the family: U1 is a small nuclear RNA (snRNA) component of the spliceosome (involved in pre-mRNA splicing). Its 5' end forms complementary base pairs with the 5' splice junction, thus defining the 5' donor site of an intron. There are significant differences in sequence and secondary structure between metazoan and yeast U1 snRNAs, the latter being much longer (568 nucleotides as compared to 164 nucleotides in human). The record is from RNAcentral. Lineage: Eukaryota; Metazoa; Arthropoda; Arachnida; Ixodida; Ixodidae.
AUACUUACCUGGUGCUGAGUCGGCGGUGAGCACACAGGCCGCGGCCCCGUGCAGAGGCCUCUCCACUGCACUGCGGUUGGCUGAAGCACGCCACUUCCCCUAGUAGGGGUAGCUGGAGCAUGCAAAUGUUUGUAGUGGGACUAGGCAUGCGCGCCAGCCCCCA